RNAcentral lists this ribosomal RNA (489 nucleotides) under uncultured bacterium. Its description in RNAcentral is "partial 16S ribosomal RNA". It matches the Rfam family "Bacterial small subunit ribosomal RNA", at positions 28 to 507 of the family's 1533-position model. The record is from RNAcentral.
GACGAACGCUGGCGGCGUGCUUAACACAUGCAAGUCGAACGGUGAAGGGAUCAGCUUGCUGGUUCUGGAUGAGUGGCGAACGGGUGAGUAACACGUGAGUAACCUGCCCCCUUCUUCUGGAUAACCGCAUGAAAGUGUGGCUAAUACGGGAUAUUCUGGGUCUGUCGCAUGAUGGGUCUGGGAAAGAUAUUGUUUCGGUGGGGGAUGGGCUCGCGGCCUAUCAGCUUGUUGGUGGGGUGAUGGCCUACCAAGGCGGUGACGGGUAGCCGGCCUGAGAGGGUGGACGGUCACACUGGGACGGAGACACGGCCCAGACUCCUACGGGAGGCAGCAGUGGGGAAUAGUGCACAAUGGGCGCAAGCCUGAUGCAGCGACGCCGCGUGAGGGAUGGAGGCCUUCGGGUUGUAAACCUCUUUCGCCAGUGAAGCAGGCCUGCUCCUUGUGGGUGGGUUGACGGUAGCUGGAUAAGAAGCGCCGGCUAACUACGUG